CUCUUUUGUAUAGAUUAUGUACAUAUAGCCCCAAACAACUUUAAAAUGUAAGAGACAGCCAAUUUGGAAAAGAAACAUAACCGUGAAAAGAAUAUUGUGAGAAUAAUGGACAUAUAUACAUGCAGGACUUUCCACACUCUGAUGGCAAAGGAGAAUGAAAAGACCUCUCUCCUUCAACAGUGAAUAAAGUGUACCAACUGGGGCUGGGUCUUGGGGGUGGUGGAAAGAAAACAAUGAGCAAUUAUUACACAUGUUGAUAAAUACCUAGUCUUCUUUUCCUUCUCUGCCUUCACAGGAAGCUUUCUCUUUUUUUUCCAUCAGAUGUGACAUGCUCUCUCACCUCCCAACUGCUUUCUCAACUCUCUCCACCCAGCAGAGAAUUAUGGGGCUGGAGGUAUGGCUCUUCAGCCUACGUCUCGUCAUCUCUUCAAACCAAGUUUAAGUUGAAUGAAGAGUACUCUGGCAAAAAAGAAAUCACACCUCUUCUCUCCCACUGAUCUCCUCUGAAUGGGUCUUUUGGGAGAGAUUCGUUCGUCCACCAGAGAUGCCUUAGAAAUACCAAAUACUACGUUUUAUGGCUGUAUUUUGUCAUCAGGACAGGAACCUACUAGCAAGUGUCACGCCUGCCCUUACUGUAAUGUCGAGCCCCGUCACGUGGACUACAGAAACAGCUGCAAAGGCCCGCCCACCCACACGGUGAAGGCGGGAGACCCAGAACAAGGAGCAGGCUUUCCUGAAGGGAGAGCUCACUGUCUUACCCGUCAGCUGCUCAGUGAGUAUUAGUGCGUGCGUGCCAAGUCACUUCAGUCGUGUCGAUUCUUUGAGACCCCUCUGUACCCCACCAGGCCCCUCUGUCCAUGGGAGUCUCCAGGCAAGAAUACUGGAGUGGGUUGCCAUUUUCUCCUCCAAGGGAUCUUCUCAACCCAGGGAUCGAACCCGUGUGUCUUACGUCUCCUGCAUUGGCAGGCGGGUUCUUCACUACGAGCGCCACCUGGAAAGCCCUGAAUAUUAGUAGAAGUGGCUGUUUCUGUUCUCUAGGCUCUGGCUCCGUGCACCAGCAUGACCGGUUUUAGGUUCUCUCACCUGAUGCCCCUGGACUUGACUUCUUACUUCCUUGACCUUGGACAUUGCCUUCGAGCCCGGGCUGAGGCUCUGUAACUCCACCUCCGCCCAUGGGCGCGCAUGCUCAGUCACUCAGUCGUGUCUGACUCUUUGUGACCCCGUGGACUGUAACCCCCAGGCUCCUCUGUCCAUGGAAUUUUCCGAGCAAGAAUACUGGAGUGGAUUGCCAUUUUCUUCUCCAGGGGAUCUUUCCGAC
This 1318-nucleotide long non-coding RNA is filed under the name Capra hircus (goat). RNAcentral's name for it is "lncRNA (ENSCHIG00000002196.1)". The record is from RNAcentral. Lineage: Eukaryota; Metazoa; Chordata; Mammalia; Artiodactyla; Bovidae.